Molecule: ribosomal RNA, 254 nt
Filed under: uncultured bacterium
Lineage: Bacteria
Description: partial 16S ribosomal RNA
Rfam family: Bacterial small subunit ribosomal RNA
Source: RNAcentral
UACGUAGGCAGCGAGCGUUGUUCGGAAUUACUGGGCGUAAAGAGCGCGUAGGCGGCACGGUACGACCGGUGUGAAAGCCCCCGGCUCAACUGGGGAGGGUCACCGGUAACGGCCGAGCUAUGAGUGCAGGAGAGGGAAGUGGAACUCCGGGAGUAGCGGUGAAAUGCGUAGAGACCCGGAGGAACACCAGUGGCGAAGGCGGCUUCCUGGUCUGCAACUGACGCUGUGGCGCGAAAGCUAGGGGAGCAAACGGG